AACGAACGCUGGCGGCAUGCCUAACACAUGCAAGUCGAACGAUACCUCCGGGCCUAGUGGCGCACGGGUGCGUAACGCGUGGGAACCUGCCCUUAGAACCGGAAUAACUCCCCGAAAGGGGUGCUAAUACCGGGUAAUGUUUUCGGACCAAAGCUUUUUCGGCUUUGGAUGGGCCCGCGUUGGAUUUCCUAUUUGGUAGGGUAAAAGCCCACCCAGGAGACUAUCCAUAGCUGGUCUGAGAAGAUGAUCAGCCACACUGGGACUGAGACACGGCCCAGACUCCUACGGGAGGGAGCGGUGGGGAAUAUUGGACAAUGGGCGAAAGCCUAAUCCAGCAAUGCCGCGUGAGUGAUGAAGGCCUUAGGGUAGUAAAGCUCUUUUACCCGGGAUGAUAGUGACAGUACCGGGAGAAUAAGCUCCGGCUAACUCCGUG
RNAcentral lists this ribosomal RNA (433 nucleotides) under uncultured bacterium. RNAcentral describes it as "partial 16S ribosomal RNA". It matches the Rfam family "Bacterial small subunit ribosomal RNA", at positions 29 to 507 of the family's 1533-position model. The record is from RNAcentral.